GUCGUUGUAGUAUAGUGGUGAGUAUAUUCCCGCCUGUCACGCGGGUGACCCGGGUUCGAUCCCCGGCAACGGCG
The sequence is a transfer RNA, 74 nucleotides long. It matches the Rfam family "tRNA". From Rfam's summary of the family: Transfer RNA (tRNA) molecules are approximately 80 nucleotides in length. Their secondary structure includes four short double-helical elements and three loops (D, anti-codon, and T loops). The record is from Rfam.